CGGCAGCAUAGAGAGCUUGCUCUCUGAUGGCGAGUGGCGAACGGGUGAGUAAUAUAUCGGAACGUGCCUAGUAAUGGGGAAUAACUAAUCGAAAGAUUAGCUAAUACCGCAUACGACCUACGGGUGAAAGCAGGGGAUCGCAAGACCUUGCGCUUUAGGAGCGGCCGAUGCCUGAUUAGCUUGUUGGUAAGGUAAAGGCUUACCAAGGCUUCGAUCAGUAGUUGGUCUGAGAGGACGACCAGCCACACUGGGACUGAGACACGGCCCAGACUCC
RNAcentral lists this ribosomal RNA (274 nucleotides) under uncultured bacterium. RNAcentral describes it as "partial 16S ribosomal RNA". It matches the Rfam family "Bacterial small subunit ribosomal RNA", at positions 67 to 339 of the family's 1533-position model. The record is from RNAcentral.